UACGGAGGAUGCGAGCGUUAUCCGGAUUUAUUGGGUUUAAAGGGUGCGUAGGCGGGAUGCCAAGUCAGCGGUCAAAUACGGGGGCUCAACCCCGUCGUGCCGUUGAAACUGAUGUUCUUGAGUGGGCGAGAAGUAUGCGGAAUGCGUGGUGUAGCGGUGAAGUGCAUAGAUAUCACGCAGAACUCCGAUUGCGAAGGCAGCAUACCGGCGCCCUACUGACGCUGAGGCACGAAAGUGCGGGUAUCGAACAGG
This 252-nucleotide ribosomal RNA is filed under the name uncultured Bacteroidales bacterium. RNAcentral describes it as "partial 16S ribosomal RNA". It matches the Rfam family "Bacterial small subunit ribosomal RNA", at positions 524 to 776 of the family's 1533-position model. Lineage: Bacteria; Pseudomonadati; Bacteroidota; Bacteroidia; Bacteroidales. The record is from RNAcentral.